GGUGGUGAUGCACGACGACUUUGGAUAUGCUGGUCAGGGAGGCCCUUUCUGAGAAGUGACAUCCAGGCAGGGCGAUGAGAAUGAGUGUCAUCUGAAGAGUUGGGAGGGACAUUACAAGCAGAUGUGUCAUCAAGAGUAAAGAACAUGAGUCUGGAAACGGCCAGGGCCUCUCUCAACUCAGAAGCCAUCCUUCUGCCCAAGGAGCAGAGUCCAAACUCCCUCUCCAGCCCGUUCAGGCCCUCCCAGACCUCACUCCGGUCUGCCCUUCCUGCUUCCCCUGCUUUCUAGGGCGUUCCCACCACCUGAGGAGCUUUACAGUCCAUUCCGCCUCAAUCACUGUAUGGCUCUCCUCUUACAUUAGCCCUGGAGAAGGACCCAUAAUGCUAUGGGCUUCUGUUUCUACCUGGUGUGUGCUGAGGAAAAGUUCCUGGAACUGAGUGAUCUCUGCCCCCUUGUUCUGCGAGACUUGUCUGUGGGAUGUGGGCCAUAGUUGUGUUGAGGAAGAAUAAAGAUGCUUCUGUGUGCAUGUAGAAGGUGUGAAAUGUUUAAUAAGCAUCAUCCUGCGCAUGUGGUGUUAACACAAACAUCCACGUGACACCUCAAGUGGGUGACUGCACAGAUGAGGGAUACAGGAAUGCGAUGACUCACCGGGAGGCCUCACUGUGGCUUCAGGCAAUUUCCGAAGGUCCACUCAGCAGGCCGUGGAGGCACUUCGGGUCUGCCUAGUCACUUCCUUCUCCCUUACUAACACCCUCCAAUACCUAAACGGCACGACAAACUGCUGAGAACCUCACAUCAUGACAAAGCUGAUUUUCACAAGUGUCUCUGGACCGGACAUUCCGGGAGGUGAACGCGUCGUCCCUCCGCAGCCCCUCCUGCGCUGGGUCAUCAGUGACGCUGCACUCAGGGGGUUCCACCACCCGCACUCUUUUCACUGUGCUGCUUGGGUUUUAAUUCUGAGAGCUACCAUUCCAGUUGGUUCACUUAGUCAGUACUCAAUAGACAUAAUGAGUUUCUAUUGUGUGCCAGGCACUAGGGAGACCAAGAAAGACCUCCUAGGCCUCAGUUUCCUCAUCCGUCUAAGGGGACAGCAGCAGCAUCUCCUUCACAGGGUGGUUGGAAGAACUGAAGGGAGACCAUGCACGGAAAAGGAUGUAGCACAGUGCUCCACAAAUGCUACAGGAAAGAAGGCUUUCUGCUGGAUUUACUGUCCUGCAGACCCAGCAGGGACAAAGGAGGGACCCAGGAAAGCAUGGGAGACUCUGUUCUCUGCUGGGGAGAGGAGGACAGUAGAGUCUCCACUGAAGACUAACUGGGCCCAAGAGGAGGGCCCAAAAGGAGGGUGGACAGCCUGGGAAGGAAGGCCUAGGAGUGCUGGGGUGAAGCCAGUGAGGGGCCUCGCUGAGCUUGAAGCUGGGAGAGAUGGGGCCGAUGCAGCUCCUCUGGAGAGCCACCUUCCGCCCUUUGUCGUCACGCUGUCCUCCCACAACUAUGGUGCUACAGAUGGGCUUCCACAGCCAGGCCUUCUGGAAAGAUCCACAAACAGGCUGCAGGGCCCAGCGCCAAGGACAUCAUGUAGUGAAUAAUGUGCUGCAUAAACUAAAUUAUGAAUUUAUGUGGUGAAUAAACUAAAGAAGGGAACCGGCAGCAGGGAGCUCUCAGGCUGGGAGUGGGGAAUGUUCUUUCAAGAUAUUCCCCCCGCCCCCCACCCCCAGAGGAUUCUAUCUCACAAUGGUUCCUUCCUCUGAGUCUUAGAGGAGGCUCUAUGAGAAGAUGGAUGCCUCUCUCAGGAAGCUAAGAGGAAAGUGUUUCCCUCACUCUUCUGCCAAGUGAUGUUCGGUGCCUGUGAGGGACAGCCCCAGAGUUGCCUCUCCUUCCUGACAGCAUUUUGGGGAAGACCAACGACACAGCCACUUCUAGUUUCUGCAACUCGUUUUUGCUGGAAUUGCCCUCAGCUCUUGCCUGCUAAUGGACCCAAAUGAAGACUAGGUUUCAGACUGAGGCGCAGGGCAAGAGACAGAAUGCUGAAGCACCAGUGGAGAGAGCAGACGCAAUGGGACAUUCUGAAGCUAAAAGGACCAUGGAUGCAGGCCAGAGCAAAGAUGCCUUGAAAAAAUUUAGUUUUACGUAAAAGGGAUCCUGAGCUCAAAGAACUGAGAGGAGGGCACAUAAUCAAAUGUAUUAUUAAUCUCCUCACCAAAGAACAUGGUGACUUUAGGCUAUCUUGUUUAAAUAAAUCUUCCAGAAAAGAAGAAACUCACUAUAUAAAAAAAACAAGGAAGGAAUUCGAAUAUUUUGGAGACAGCCAGACAGUUUUGUGAAAUGAAAGCUAGGAGAGAUGAGGGCAGUAAAUGUUUGGGCCGAAACAGUAAAAACGGGGAUUAAUACUGCCCAUAAUCUUCUCUAAAAUAUUUUUCAUUUACCAACUGGGGAAAAACAAUUAGAAUUUUCUCUCCGGCCUUGGCAAGCCAUCUCUUUUGGCAUAAGAGAUUCCUGAGUGCUGAGCUUCAUUCAAAUCUCUAUUUCUUUUCCCAAACCCAGAGCGAAUUAAGCAAAUAAUAUACAGUUCAGCCAUUUUAACAGUAUAAGGAAAAUGCUUUAAUCUGUAAAAGGAAUGGAAAUGACUAGUUUAGCGACACUGACAAUUACUGCAAGCAUCUUAGGGCUCUUAACAUUUACUUCAUGGGCUCCACAGUGGGAGAGGGAGCAGAGAUAACAGAGGGGGUCCUAAAUCCACCCCCAGCCCUGGAGAAAGAAAGGGGAAGGGACAGAAGGGCUGGGAGACGGCAGCAGCUGGGGGGCGCAGAGCGGAGACAGGGCGGCAGCGUGAAGUCAAAUCUGGGGAUUCCAGAAUCGGUUCUGGUACUAAUUAGCUGCGUGUGAUUUUAGGCAAAUCACAAACUCCCCAGGCCCCCAAAUUCCAUUUGUAAAAGGAGGUGACCCAACUCAGUUUUCCUCCUUCCAGGGCUCAAGUUCUACCAAAACUUUUCCAAUCCCAGAGCAAACAUCAAGACUGUGUCUGAAGGGAAGGUCUGCGUCUCAGGAAUAUUCCACUCUUCAAAGCAAGCGGGGCGGGGAGAAGAAAGAAAGAUGAAACAAGAACAAUUUUGGCAAGGUCACCCUAGAAUAGCUGCUUUAAAGGCCCUGCUUCUUCGGGGGUGAGGGGAAGGUGGGGCAUUAGCAUACGAGACCCCCAGGCGACCCCCAGGCCGGCUCCCCGACCUUGUCACAGCCACUGUCACUUACAGGAGCCUAAGGGGUUUUUAAAAUACAGGGUAGCAAGUUUAGACACGGCCCAUCACUAUUUAUGCCAUCCUAACCAACACCACGUCACUAAACUCCUUCUUCCUCUCUUGAAUUUACUGCCCAAACACAGGCCAUUUCGGAGGUUCUAGAAUAAAGACCCUGGAGGUGAGAGAGGAGCGGAGGGUGGGUGUCACCACCCCUUCCUGUCCUGGGCUCCAGGCUUUAAACGACGCUGCGCCCGGAGCUCUCUCCAUUUUCUCUCACUGCUUGUUUCUUGGCUGCUGGCCCAGUCGGAGCCCUCGCCACCGCCAGCGUUUCAGACGAAGGCGACCUGUUGACAGACCAACACCCAAGGGACGUUACAAUAAAACAUGGCAUUUGCUAAUUACAAGGGGGUGAUGUGUGAAUUUUUAAUUAGUGGGUGACUGAGACGAUAAUGAGGGAAUGACAAAGGACAGGAGAGGGGAAAGAAGGGCCACGCGGGGCUGGAAACGGAAGGAGGGCGGCAGCCCUCGGCUGGCAGGAGCCCAGGGUCGACCGGGAAGCCCGCGCC
Long non-coding RNA from Equus quagga, 3799 nucleotides. RefSeq lists it as uncharacterized. The record is from RefSeq and is a predicted model, not a curated record. The transcript has 3 exons. NCBI's taxonomy places the organism in Eukaryota, Metazoa, Chordata, Mammalia, Perissodactyla, Equidae.